UACGUAGGGGGCGAGCGUUGUCCGGAAUUACUGGGCGUAAAGGCGCGUAGGCGGCCCGUUAAGUCCGUUGUGAAAGACCCGAGGCUCAACCUCGGGAUGUCAACGGAGACUGUCGGGCUUGGAGUGUCGGAGAGGAGGCGGGGAAUCCCUGGUGUAGCGGUGGAAUGCGUAGAGAUCAGGGGGAACACCGAUGGCGAAGGCACCGCUCUGGCCGAAGACUGACGCUGAGGCGCGAAAGCUGGGGGAGCGAACGGG
Molecule: ribosomal RNA, 255 nt
Filed under: uncultured bacterium
Lineage: Bacteria
Description: partial 16S ribosomal RNA
Rfam family: Bacterial small subunit ribosomal RNA
Source: RNAcentral